UUAGAACCUUCUCGAGGUG
RNAcentral lists this transfer RNA (19 nucleotides) under Ambystoma maculatum (spotted salamander). RNAcentral's name for it is "partial tRNA-Thr". The record is from RNAcentral. Lineage: Eukaryota; Metazoa; Chordata; Amphibia; Caudata; Ambystomatidae.